CGCGGUAACACCAGCGCCACAAGUGGUAACCACAUUUAUUUGGUCUAAAGCGUUCGUAGCUGGUUCAUUAAGUCUUUUGUGAAAUUGUUGGCUUUAAUCUAACAACGUGCAAGAGAAACUACUGGACUUGAGACUGGGAGGAGAUAGGAGUAUUCCAAGGGGAGCGGUAAAAUGUUAUAAUCCUUGGAGGACUACCUGUGGCGAAGGCGCCUAUCUAGAACAGUUCUGACAGUGAGGAACGAAGGCCAGGGGAGCAAAACGGAUUAGAUACCCGAGUAGUCCUGGCAGUAAACGCUGUGAGCUAUAUGUUGCAUAUUCUUAGAGGAUGUGCAGCGUCUAAGUGAAGACGUUAAGCUCACCACCUGGGAAGUACGGCCGCAAGACUGAAACUUAAAGGAAUUGGCGGGGGCUCACCACAACAGGUGGAGCGUGCGGUUCAAUUGGAUUCUACGCCGGAAAUCUCACCAGAAGCGAUGGCAGAAUGAAGGUCAGAUUAAAGGUUUUACCUGACACGCCAAGAGGUAUUGCAUGGCCGUCGUCAGCUCGUGCCGUGAGGUGUCCAGUUAAGUCUGGUAACGAGCAAGACCCAUAUUUACAUUUGCUAACAGGUUCUCCGGAACGACUGAGCACUAUGUAGAGACUGCCUUCGUAAGAAGGAGGAAGGUGUGGGCCACGGUAGGUCAGUAUGGUCCGAAUCUUCUGGGCUACACGCGCGCUACAAUGGUAAAGACAGAAGGAUACAACUCUGAAAAGAGAAGUUAACCCUUUAAACUUUAUCUUAGUUCGGAUUGAGGAUUGUAACUCAUCCUCAUGAAGCUGGAAUCUGUAGUAAUCGGUCCUCAUUAUAGACCGGUGAAUACGUCCCUGAGCCUUGCACACACUGCCCGUCAAACCAACCGAGCAGGGUUCAGAUGAGGCUUAAUCUUUAGAUUAACUCGAAUCUAAACUCAGUAAGGUGGGUUAAGUCGUCACAAGGUAUCCGUAGGGGAACCUGCGGAUGGAUCACCUCC
RNAcentral lists this ribosomal RNA (1010 nucleotides) under uncultured archaeon. RNAcentral's name for it is "bacterial SSU rRNA". It matches the Rfam family "Archaeal small subunit ribosomal RNA", at positions 466 to 1477 of the family's 1478-position model. The record is from RNAcentral.